GAUCUGUAACUUCGGGAUAAGGAU
Molecule: non-coding RNA, 24 nt
Filed under: Drosophila erecta
Lineage: Eukaryota; Metazoa; Arthropoda; Insecta; Diptera; Drosophilidae
Also listed under: 2 other names
Source: RNAcentral